GUCUAGCAUUCUCAGAUGAAGUCAGAAGCUCCUCCAAGUAAUCAGCACCUAAAUCUUCCAAAACCACCACAUUUUCUAUCCUACCAUCCCUUUCUCUCUUGCUUCUGUUCAUCAUUUUCCUUCUCAUGGAGUGCUUCCUCUUAAGAGCUACUACAGGUGAGCACCCCUCUUCUUGACUACACUUGAUGUCCUUGAGUGAUUCCCUCACUCUUUCAACCGGGAAAUUGAGUAUAGCCCCAGCUCCUCUCAUUGAAAAAGCAGCUUGGUCAUAAGCCAGAGCAGCUGCCUCCGCACUAUCAAAUGUGCCUAACCAUACCCUUAUCCCAUGCCUGGUGGAGUCCCUUAUCUCCGCAGCAAAUUUCCCCCAUGGACGCCUCCUAACACCUCUGUAGGACUUCAUCUCGUUGUUGGGAUUUUCUUUAAUUACAGAACUGACCUCUUCUUCCUUGAUAUUUCGAACAGAGUAAGCUGUUUUCGAUGUUUCUUGUGUGGCCUCUGAGAUUAGUCCAUAGAGAAGCAUUUCCUCUGAAUCAUUUUCAUUGAAAGGGAGAGGAUGUUGGCUAAAGGAUUGGCUGUAGAAAGAUUCAGGCGACCCGAAGGAAGAUUCCGACGAGAAAUCGGAGUUUGGAGAGUGAAAGAUGGAGGACUCCAUGUGAAAUUGGUUCGGUUUUGAGCUGCUGUGUCACUAUUUUGGUGUGCUU
RNAcentral lists this unclassified non-coding RNA (701 nucleotides) under Hevea brasiliensis (rubber tree). The record is from RNAcentral. Lineage: Eukaryota; Viridiplantae; Streptophyta; Magnoliopsida; Malpighiales; Euphorbiaceae.